RNAcentral lists this ribosomal RNA (3056 nucleotides) under marine metagenome. Its description in RNAcentral is "bacterial LSU rRNA". It matches the Rfam family "Archaeal large subunit ribosomal RNA". The record is from RNAcentral.
UCUGACACGCUGACGCCGUCUGGUGGAUGGCUUGGCUUGAGAGACUAUGAAGGGCGUGGCAAGCUGCGAUAAGCUCUGGGUAGGCGCAGGCAGCCUUUGAUCCAGAGAUACCCGAAUGGGACUUCCUAUCAGAAUGUCUUCGGGCAUACUGAUGAUCCGUAAGGAUUGUGAACCCUCCGAAUUGAAGCAUCUUAGUAGGAGGAGGAAAAGAAAUCAAUUGAGAUCCCCUUAUUAGCGGCGAGCGAAACGGGGUCUGCCCAAUCUGAAUCCUGUAAAGUGAUUUGUAGGAGAUGUGGGGUAUGCUAACAGUGUUUGCUUCUCUCAUUUUUUUGAAUUGAAGUGGUCUGGAAAGACCUAACAAAGAGGGUGAUAUUCUCGUAGGUUUAAGAAUAAGAGUGAUGUGCUGUUAGCUAGAGUACCUGGCCUCGGCAAUGGCUAGGGAAUAUGGGGGAAAGCAGCCUCCAAGGCUAAAUACUUCUCAAGACCGAUAGUGUAAUAGUACCGUGAGGUAAAGCUGAAAAGUACCCUGAAAGGGGAGUGAAAAGUGACUGAAACCAGACGGUUACAGACGUGUAUUGCCUGAAAGGGGUUUACUGGUUUUCUUGAUCGUCCUUCGGGAUGGUCUUAUGGAGACCUAUUAUGACCCCAGGGUGAUACUUUCCGUCUAGAAACACGGGCCAGGGAGUUUAUUGUCAUGGCAAGCCUAAGGGCUUAAAGCCUGAAAGCGAAGGGAAACCAACAUUUCGCAGCAGUAUUUUUACUGUGAGGAAAGGGGUCUGAAAGGGCCUUUAGUCAUGGCGAUAAGACUAGAAACCGGACGAUCGUGCCCUGAGUUGGAUGAAGCUGGGCGAAAGCCUGGUGGAGGUCCUAAGGGGUCCUGACGUGCAACUCGGUCCUGUAACUUGGGGCAAGGGGCCAAAAGCCAAUCUAGUUCGGUGAUAGCUAGUUCCUACCGAAGCGGGUCGUAGCCCGGCCUAGGCAGACGUUGCCAACGCUGUAGAGCACCGAUGUGAAAGUAAGGGAUCGAAAGAUCCUCCUUUCGUUUCGAACUCCGAAGGUGUUGGUGCGGUAGAAGCCUGGAUGCGGGUUUGUGUGGGGUAAGCCUCACAACCGAGAGGGGGACAACCCAGACUGGAGUUAAGGCCCCUAAAUAUCGACUAAGUGUCAAACAAAAGGGCGUCUUUGAGCCAAGACAGCAGGAAGAUAGGCUUAGAACCAGCCAUUCUUUAAAGAGUGCGUAACAGCUCACCUGCCGAGCUUGGGGGCCCCGAAAAUGGACGGGGCUAAAGUCGAUUGCCGAUACUCUGGACCACAAGUUAUUCUUGUGUGUGGUAGGUAGGCGUAGAGGUUGGGUAGAAGUAGGGCUGUGAAGUCCUGUGGACCGAUUUCUAUUGUAGAUCCUGGCGGUAGUAGCAGCGUAGUUGGGUGAGAAUCCCGACCACCGUAUGGGCAAGGUUUUCCUGGCAACGCGUCGUCGACCAGGAGUUAGCCGAUCCUAAGUGUAAUCCCAAAGGUUUUACACGAAAAGGGAAACCGGUUAAUAUUCCGGUGCCCUAGAGAUUCCGUGCACUUUGUGCAGAUUUAGCUUCGCUUUCUUCGAGAUAGGGUGAACAAGGUUGUCGCCUUGUUUAAUUGUUCGAGAUUGGGGGAGUGUCGUAAUGACGAGAACCCAUUCGAGGCGAGAAUAGCCGGCCGUAUGGUUGGUUCAUUUGAAUCUGGGAGACACUGAAAACGGAGUUGAUGAGGAAUCUUUAGGUUCGUACCCAGAACCGACACAGGUGCCCUAGUUGAAUAGACUUCGGUGUAUCGGGUAUAUAGUAGGCGAGGGAAUUCGGCAAAUUAGCCCCGUACCUUCGGUAUAAGGGGUGCCUGCUGUUUUUGUGAGAAACAGGGACAGCAGGUCGCAGUGACAAGGGGGUCCCGACUGUUUAAUAAAAACACAGGAAGCUGCUAGCCCGAAAGGGUGUGUAUAGCUUUUGAAUCCUGGCCAGCAACGGUACCUAAAACCUGGGUUCAACUGGGCUAAGGGCCGUUUAGCGCCGGGAGUAACUCUGACUCUCUUAAGGUAGCCAAAUGCCUUGUCGGGUAAGUUCCGACGUGCAUGAAUGGAACAACGAGGGCCCUACUGUCCCCGUCUACUACCCGGCGAACCCACGUAACGUGGACGAACAGUCCACGAACUUCUAUCGGGAAGAGAAGACCCUGUGGAGCUUUACUGCAGCUUGUUGUUGUGAUACGACUAUGAUUGCAGAGUGUAGCUGGGAGUUGUUAUGCACAUACUUUUGGGUAUGUGAUAGACAAAAGUGUAACACCAGCCUCUCAUAGUUUUAUCGCUCACCGGGAAACCGGGACACCGGCAGGUGGGCAGUUUGGCUGGGGCGGCACCCCCUUGAAAAAAUAUCGAGGGGGCCCAAAGGUCGGCUCAGGUGGGACAGAAAUCCACCGUAGAGGGCAAGGCUAAAAGCCGGCCUGACUGGGUUCUCAAAAGCACAGAACCCAGGAGCGAAAGCUUGGCCUAGCGAUCCUCCAGGUCCCCACUGUUGGGGGCUGAAGGUGACAGAAAAGUUACCCCAGGGAUAACAGGCUUGUCGCGGGUGAGAGCUCAAAUCGACCCCGCGGAUUGGUACCUCGAUGUCGGCUCUUCCCAUCCUGGUCCUGCAGCAGGGGCCAAGGGUGGGGCUGCUCGCCCAUCAAAGGGGAACGUGAGCUGGGUUUAGACCGUCGUGAGACAGGUCGGCCUCUAUCUGAUAGAAGCGAUGGCCGUCUGAGGGGAAGUUGUCCUCAGUACGAGAGGAACAGGGCAACGUAGCCUCUGGCGUACCGGUUGUCUGAUAAGGCAGUUGCCGGGCAGCUAAGCUAUUGAGGAUAAGAGCUGAAAGCAUCUAAGCUCGAAGCCUCUCCUGAGAAUAGACCGCCUUCCACAUUUCUACUUCUUUCGGGAAGUAGGUGUGGACAAGAGCUGGGAAAGAAGAUCCCGUUGAUGGGGCAGAGGUGUAAUCUGAAAGGCUUCGGCCGAUCAGUUCAGCCUGCUGCUCCCAAUCGCUCAAGGUGUCAGA